Molecule: transfer RNA, 61 nt
Filed under: Artemia sinica
Lineage: Eukaryota; Metazoa; Arthropoda; Branchiopoda; Anostraca; Artemiidae
Description: tRNA-His
Rfam family: tRNA
About the family: Transfer RNA (tRNA) molecules are approximately 80 nucleotides in length.
Source: RNAcentral
ACUGUUAUAGUUUAAAUAGAACAUUAGUUUGUGGAGCUAAAAGAGAAUACUUCUAAUAGUA